AGGACGAACGCUGGCGGCGCGCUUAAUACAUGCAAGUCGAGCGAGAACCAGGGCUUCGGCUCUGGGGACAGCGGCGAACGGGUGAGUAACACGUGGGUAAUCAACCCCCGACACCGGGAUAGCCCAGGGAAACUUGGAUUAAUACCGGAUGCUCCGUCUGGCCUUCGGGCCGGCCGGAAAAGGGUAGCUUCGGCCUCCGGUCGGGGACGAGCCCGCGGCGGAUUAGCUUGUUGGUGAGGUAAAGGCUCACCAAGGCGACGAUCCGUAGCUGGUCUGAGAGGACGAUCAGCCACACUGGGACUGAGACACGGCCCAGACUCCUACGGGAGGCAGCAGUAGGGAAUCUUGCGCAAUGGGCGAAAGCCUGACGCAGCGACGCCGCGUGAGGGAAGAAGGCCUUCGGGUUGUAAACCUCUUUCAGCAGGGACGAAGCGAAAGUGACGGUACCUGCAGAAGAAGCGCCGGCUAACUACGUGCCAGCAGCCGC
This 487-nucleotide ribosomal RNA is filed under the name uncultured bacterium. RNAcentral describes it as "SSU rRNA". It matches the Rfam family "Bacterial small subunit ribosomal RNA", at positions 26 to 518 of the family's 1533-position model. The record is from RNAcentral.